This 75-nucleotide transfer RNA is filed under the name bacterium. RNAcentral's name for it is "tRNA-Val". It matches the Rfam family "tRNA". Rfam says of the family: Transfer RNA (tRNA) molecules are approximately 80 nucleotides in length. Their secondary structure includes four short double-helical elements and three loops (D, anti-codon, and T loops). The record is from RNAcentral. RNAcentral also lists the same sequence under 2 other names.
GGGCGCAUAGCUCAGUGGGAGAGCACUCGCUUCACACGCGAGGGGUCGGUGGUUCGAGCCCACCUGUGCCCACCA